Molecule: ribosomal RNA, 1974 nt
Filed under: Plasmodium gonderi
Lineage: Eukaryota; Apicomplexa; Aconoidasida; Haemosporida; Plasmodiidae
Description: partial small subunit ribosomal RNA
Rfam family: Eukaryotic small subunit ribosomal RNA
Source: RNAcentral
UAAUAUGCAGAAACUGCGAACGGCUCAUUAAAACAGUUAUAAUCUACUUGACAUUUUUUUAAUAUAAGGAUAACUACGGAAAAGCUGUAGCUAAUACUUGCUUUAAUAUUCUUGAUUAAGUUCUUGAGUAUGUAUUUGUUAAGUCUUAUAAGAAAAAAGUUAUUAACUUAAGGAAUUAUAACAAAGAAGUAACACGUAAUAAACUUAGUUUAUUUUAGUGUGUAUCAAUCGAGUUUCUGACCUAUCAGCUUUUGAUGUUAGGGUAUUGGCCUAACAUGGCAAUGACGGGUAACGGGGAAUUAGAGUUCGAUUCCGGAGAGGGAGCCUGAGAAAUAGCUACUACAUCUAAGGAUGGCAGCAGGCGCGUAAAUUACCCAAUUCUAAUGAAGAGAGGUAGUGACAAGAAAUAACAAUACAAGACCAAAUCUGGUUUUGUAAUUGGAAUGAUGGGAAUUUAAAACCUUCCCAAAAUACAAUUGGAGGGCAAGUCUGGUGCCAGCAGCCGCGGUAAUUCCAGCUCCAAUAGCGUAUAUUAAAAUUGUUGCAGUUAAAACGCUCGUAGUUGAAUUUCGAAGAAUCAAUAUUUUAAGUCAUACUUUUUAGUUAAUAAUCCACAAUAACUAAUACUUCGAGUAUUGGUUAUGUGCGCAUUAUAUAUACUAUUAUGUGUCUCUUUUAAUAAAAUGUUUCUUUCUAAGAUUUUCUUUUUGCUUUUUUUAAGCAUUAGAAGAUUUUUUUACUUUGAGUAAAUUAGAGUGUUCAAAGCAAACAGAUAUAGCAUUUACUGCGUUUGAAUACUACAGCAUGGAAUAAUAAAAUUGAACAAGUCAAAAUUAUGUUUUUGUUUUUUUUUUUUUAUUUUUGACUUAGUUACGAUUAACAGGAGUAGUUUGGGGACAUUUGUAUUCAGAUGUCAGAGGUGAAAUUCUAAGAUUUUCUGGAGACAAACAACUGCGAAGGCAUUUGUCUAAAAUACUUCCAUUAAUCAAGAACGAAAGUUAAGGGAGUGAAGACGAUCAGAUACCGUCGUAAUCUUAACCAUAAACUAUACCGACUAGGUUUUGGAUGUAAGUAAAAAAAAUAAGAGUAGUCUCUUCGGGGAUAAUUCUUAGAUAGCUUCCUUCAGUGCCUUAUGAGAAAUCAAAGUCUUUGGGUUCUGGGGCGAGUAUUCGCGCAAGCGAGAAAGUUAAAAGAAUUGACGGAAGGGCACCACCAGGCGUGGAGCUUGCGGCUUAAUUUGACUCAACACGGGAAAACUCACUAGUUUAAGACAAGAGUAGGAUUGACAGAUUGAUAGCUCUUUCUUGAUUUCUUGGAUGGUGAUGCAUGGCCGUUUUUAGUUCGUGAAUAUGAUUUGUCUGGUUAAUUCCGAUAACGAACGAGAUCUUAACCUGCUAAUUAGCGGCAGGUACAACAUAUUUUUGGGAAAAAUUAAAUACAGUUAGUUUGCAAUAUUUUGAAGAAAUAUAUUAGGACAUGUAAAAGUGUUCUUUUCCCUUGUUUCUACUUAAUUUGCUUACUAAUACUGAUUUUUUUUUUUCCCAGAAAUGUAUUUGCUUUAUUGUAAAGCUUCUUAGAGGAACGAUGUGUGUCUAACACAAGGAAGUUUAAGGCAACAACAGGUCUGUGAUGUCCUUAGAUGAACUAGGCUGCACGCGUGCUACAAUGAUAUGUAUAACAAGUUAUUAGAAAUAUACACAUUAUUACUAUGCUCAUUCGUGAGUUUGUAUUCAUUGUGUUAUUUUUCCUCCACUGAAAAGUGUAGGUAAUCUUUAUCAAUACAUAUCGUGAUGGGGAUAGAUUAUUGCAAUUAUUAAUCUUGAACGAGGAAUGCCUAGUAAGCACGAUUCAUUAGAUUGUGCUGACUACGUCCCUGCCCUUUGUACACACCGCCCGUCGCUCCUACCGAUCGAAAGAUAUGAUGAAUUGUUUGGACAAGAAAAAUGAAGAUACACAUCUUCGCUUUUCUGAAAA